CGAACGGGUGAGUAACAUAGUCGGAACGUGCCCAGUAAAUGGGGGAUAGCCCGGCGAAAGCCGGAUUAAUACCGCAUACGACCUACGGGUGAAGCGGGGACCUGCAAGGGCCUCGCGUUAUUGGAGCGGCCGAUACCAGAUUAGCUAGUUGGUGGGGUAAAAGCCUACCAAGGCGACGAUCUGUAGCUGGUCUGAGAGGACGACCAGCCACACUGGGACUGAGACACGGCCCAG
This 234-nucleotide ribosomal RNA is filed under the name uncultured bacterium. RNAcentral's name for it is "partial 16S ribosomal RNA". It matches the Rfam family "Bacterial small subunit ribosomal RNA", at positions 99 to 334 of the family's 1533-position model. The record is from RNAcentral.